RNAcentral lists this ribosomal RNA (815 nucleotides) under Forsteropsalis wattsi. Its description in RNAcentral is "partial large subunit ribosomal RNA". The record is from RNAcentral. Lineage: Eukaryota; Metazoa; Arthropoda; Arachnida; Opiliones; Neopilionidae.
CCCGGACGGCAACUUGGAUGCGAGUGCCAAGUGGGCCACUUUUGGUUAACAGAACUGGCGCUGUGGGAUGAACCAAACGCCGGGUUAAGGGGCCCGAUGCGAGACGCUCAUGAGAUCCCAUGAAAGGUGUUGGUUGCUAUAGACAGCAGGACGGUGGCCAUGGAAGUCGGAAUCCGCUAAGGAGUGUGUAACAACUCACCUGCCGAAGCAACUAGCCCUGAAAAUGGAUGGCGCUUCAGCGUCGACCCCAUACCCGGCCGCCGCGGCCGAAAAGCCUCGUGUUUUAAGCCGCGGUGAGUAGGAGGGGCGCGGAGGCGAGCGUCGAAGGUGCCGGGCGUAAGCCCGCCUGGAGCCGCCUCCGGCGCAGAUCUUGGUGGUAGUAGCAAAUACUCAAGUGAGAACCUUGAGGACUGAGGUGGAGAAGGGUUCCAUGUGAACAGCAGUKGAACAUGGGUCAGUCGGUCCUAAGGGAUAGGAGAAAUUCGUUCCGAGGCGGGACAUAAUUUAUUACGAAAGUCCCGGUGAUGACCGAAAGGGAAUCGGGUUAAUAUUCCCGAAUCCGGACGCGGAGAUCGUCCUCUUCGGAGGCACAUUGCGGUAACGCAAACGAGCUCGGAGACGUCGACGGGAGCACCGGGAAGAGUCAUCUUUUCUUAGUAAGGAUUCGACUCCCUGGAAUCGGCUCGCCCGGAGAUAGGGAUGGUGUUUCCGUAAAGCACCGCUCCUCUCACGGUGUCCGGAUCUCGGCCGUCGGCCCCUGAAAAUAACGAGUGAGAGAUACAGAUUUUCGUGCCGGACCAUAGCACAUAUCCGCA